CUGCGAUUUGGACCUGUCACCUGUUUAAACUGCCUGAUUUAGCUCUAGGAGCCGUUAUAAAAUUGUACUGUCGCAGUAUCCUCAAGACGAGUACUCCAGGUAGUUUAGAAUACAUUUACGCUCGUGCUGGUAUGCCGAGUGAAUUUUUACAGGGUCGUUCAGGUUGUUCCGGACUGUUGGGUGCCGUCAGAGUUGACGGUGGACCCGUAUCGCCUUUUUGGCGUCAGAUUGUGCCGAGGGCACGUUACCUGUUGGUUGUUAGACCAGUUUGAGUCGGUUACUUGACUUUGGCUAUUGAGAGCCUGAUUGAGCUCGACAGAGAUACGCUGCAUACUCGGUUGGGUAGCGCCCACGAGUGCCACUCCGGAGUCAGGCUUGUGCUUUUGCGUUGGUGUCGCUCAUGCCAGUUGGACUUGCUCUCCACGGACCAGUUAGUGUGGAUAGAGCC
Molecule: long non-coding RNA, 448 nt
Filed under: Ananas comosus (pineapple)
Lineage: Eukaryota; Viridiplantae; Streptophyta; Magnoliopsida; Poales; Bromeliaceae
Description: long non-coding RNA (ACOM_LNC013720)
Source: RNAcentral